RNAcentral lists this ribosomal RNA (440 nucleotides) under uncultured bacterium. Its description in RNAcentral is "partial 16S ribosomal RNA". It matches the Rfam family "Bacterial small subunit ribosomal RNA", at positions 338 to 795 of the family's 1533-position model. The record is from RNAcentral.
CCUACGGGAGGCAGCAGUGAGGGAUAUUGGUCAAUGGGGGAAACCCUGAACCAGCAACGCCGCGUGAGGGAAGACGGUUUUCGGAUUGUAAACCUCUGUCCUCGGAGAAGAGAAUGACGGUAGCAGAGGAGGAAGCUGCGGCUAACGACGUGCCCGCAGCCGCGGUAAUACGUCGGGAGCAAGCUUUAGCCGGAUUUACUGGGUGUAAAGGGGGCGCAGACGGCGAUGCAAGCCAGGAGUGAAAGCCCGGGGCCCAACCCCGGGACUGCUCUUGGAACUGCGUGGCUGGGGUGCAGGAGGGGCAGGCGGAAUUCCUGGUGUAGCGGUGACAUGCGUCGAUAUCAGGAGGAACCCCGGUGGCGAAGGCGGCCUGCUGGACUGCAACUGACGUUGAGGCCCGAACGCGUGGGGAGCAAACAGGAUUAGAUACCCUAGUAGUC